UACAGAGGGUGCAAGCGUUAAUCGGAAUUACUGGGCGUAAAGCACGCGUAGGUGGAUAAGUAAGUUGGAUGUGAAAGCCCCGGGCUCAACCUGGGAACGGCAUUCAAAACUGCUUUUCUAGAGUAUGGUAGAGGAGAGUGGAAUUUCCGGUGUAGCGGUGAAAUACGUAGAUAUCGGAAGGAACACCAGUGGCGAAGGCGACUCUCUGGACCAAUACUGACACUGAGGUGCGAAAGCGUGGGGAGCAAACAGG
RNAcentral lists this ribosomal RNA (253 nucleotides) under uncultured prokaryote. Its description in RNAcentral is "partial 16S ribosomal RNA". It matches the Rfam family "Bacterial small subunit ribosomal RNA", at positions 524 to 776 of the family's 1533-position model. The record is from RNAcentral.